This 492-nucleotide ribosomal RNA is filed under the name uncultured bacterium. Its description in RNAcentral is "partial 16S ribosomal RNA". It matches the Rfam family "Bacterial small subunit ribosomal RNA", at positions 29 to 507 of the family's 1533-position model. The record is from RNAcentral.
AGUGAACGCUGGCGGUAGGCCUAACACAUGCAAGUCGAACGGCAGCACAGUAAGAGCUUGCUCUUACGGGUGGCGAGUGGCGGACGGGUGAGGAAUACAUCGGAAUCUACUUUUUCGUGGGGGAUAACGUAGGGAAACUUACGCUCAUACCGCAUACGACCUACGGGUGAAAGCAGGGGAUCUUCGGACCUUGCGCGAUUGAAUGAGCCGAUGUCGGAUUAGCUAGUUGGCGGGGUAAAGGCCCACCAAGGCGACGAUCCGUAGCUGGUCUGAGAGGAUGAUCAGCCACACUUGAAGUGAGACACGGUCCAGACUCCUACGGGAGGCAGCAGUGGGGAAUAUUGGACAAUGGGCGCGAUCCUGGUCCAGCCAUACCGCGUGGGUGAAGAAGGCCUUCGGGUUGUAAAGCCAUUUUGUUGGGAAAGAAAAGCAGCAGGUUAAUACCCCGCUGUUCUGACGGUACCCAAAGAAUAAGCACCGGCUAACUUCGUG